CGGCACGGGUGAGUAACACGUAUCCAACCUGCCGUCUACUCUUGGCCAGCCUUCUGAAAGGAAGAUUAAUCCAGGGUGGCAUCAUGAGUUCACAUGUCCGCAUGAUUAAAGGUAUUUUCGGUAGACGAUGGGGAUGCGUUCCAUUAGAUAGUAGGCGGGGUAACGGCCCACCUAGUCAACGAUGGAUAGGGGUUCUGAGAGGAAGGUCCCCCACAUUGGAACUGAGACACGGUCCAA
Molecule: ribosomal RNA, 237 nt
Filed under: uncultured bacterium
Lineage: Bacteria
Description: partial 16S ribosomal RNA
Rfam family: Bacterial small subunit ribosomal RNA
Source: RNAcentral